RNAcentral lists this ribosomal RNA (598 nucleotides) under uncultured marine eukaryote. RNAcentral describes it as "SSU rRNA". It matches the Rfam family "Eukaryotic small subunit ribosomal RNA", at positions 1 to 604 of the family's 1831-position model. The record is from RNAcentral.
AACCUGGUUGAUCCUGCCAGUAGUCAUAUGCUUGUCUCAAAGACUAAGCCAUGCAUGUCUAAGUAUAAGUGUUAUACAGCGAAACUGCGAAUGGCUCAUUAAAACAGUUAUAGUUUAUUUGAUAAUCGAAUUUACAUGGAUAACCGUGGUAAUUCUAGAGCUAAUACAUGCUGGUAGGCCCGACUUUUGCGGAAGGGCGGUAUUUAUUAGAUAACAAGCCAAUAUUCCUCUGGUCUAUUGUGGUGACUCAUAAUAACUGAUCGAAUCGCAAGGCCUUUGGCCGCGAUAAGUCAUUCAAGUUUCUGCCCCAUCAGCUUUCGAUGGUAGUGUAUUGGACUACCAUGGCGUUUACGGGUAACGGAGGAUUAAGGUUCGAUUCCGGAGAGGGAGCCUGAGAAACGGCUACCACAUCUAAGGAAGGCAGCAGGCGCGUAAAUUACCCAAUCCUGACUCAGGGAGGUAGUGACAAGAAAUAACGGACCGAGGCCUUCGGGCUUCGGGAUUGGAAUGAGCCGAAUUUACACCCCUUAGCGAAGAUCGAUUGGAGGGCAAGUCUGGUGCCAGCAGCCGCGGUAAUUCCAGCUCCAAUAGCGUAUAU